This 2836-nucleotide long non-coding RNA is filed under the name Homo sapiens (human). Its description in RNAcentral is "non-protein coding lnc-MBD2-7:2". Lineage: Eukaryota; Metazoa; Chordata; Mammalia; Primates; Hominidae. The record is from RNAcentral.
CUUCCUGCCAGGACUGAGAUCCGGGUCCCACCUUCUGCCAAAUGAGCGACAAGGUCCUCAACUUCUCCAAAGUUAAAAGGCCCAGAAGCCUCUGCAGUUUUCGUCGGGCUGGCUGAGGGAUUCCCGCCCCACCUCGCCCCUCACAGAGGAAAGGACGGCGCAGAUAAACCCUCGACACGUAUUUGUAGUGUGGACGCGCCCCACCCUACUCCUGCUGGGUGAAGCCAUUCCUCUAGAGGUACCCGCCGCGUAACACAAGGCAGAGGGAGGCAGCCCUCUCUUAGAGGAGCCGAGUGGGGCGGGGACGGUCGCGCCCCAGUGGCCGCCGCCCCGAGCGUCCGCCUGCCCCACCCUUCUCAUUUACACCCAAGGAGGCCGCUGGCUCCUCUGGCUGCGGCGCACCCUGCGAGCUGGCUGCCGCCCCCACGUCCGCCAGUUCCAUGGCCCAGGCCUCGGCGUCUUCCUCGUCGUCGUCGCCGCCGCCUUCCUCCUCCGGCUCCACCCCCAGCUUCUCCAUCCCGCCGCUGCCAACCGCAGCGCUACUUCCGGCCGCUUCCGCCUGGUCUCCAGGGAAACCGGGGGACUACAGUCUCCAGUCGCUCUGUGCCUCUCGCCUGCGCAGUCGUGGCCGACCAGCCUGUUGCCCAGAGUGACACGCAUGCCAAGGAAUCGUGGAGGCCCACGUGCGGGAGUUUUUUCCCGCCGGGUGGAGGCCGGAAGCGGAGAGAUUGAAAGCACAAAUGGCUAUUUUUUUUUUUUUUGAGACGGAGUUUCGUUCUUGUUGCUCAGGCUGGAGUGGGCAACAGUGACGCAAUACCGGCUCACUGCAACCUCUGCCUCCCGGAUUCAAGCGAUUCUCCUGCCUCAGCCUCCCAAGUAGCUGGGAUUAACAGGCAUGCGCCAUCACGCCCAGCUAAUUUUUUUGUAUUUAGUAGAGACGAGGUUUCACCAUGUUGGUCAGGCUGGUUUCGAACUCCUGUCCUCAGGUGAUCCACCCUCCUAGGCCUCCCAAAGUGUUGAGAUCACAGGCAUGAGCCACUGCGCCUGGCCUUUUUUUUUUUUUCUUGAAGGCUUUGGAGUUAGGCCCACAUCACAAAUUUUAGCGUUUUGUCUUUGUUCCAUUCGGCUGUUAGCAAACUUGCAAAUCCCUAGACCUGAGUGAUUAAUGUGAUGGGGUGGGAAGGAGUGUAACUGAUAGUAAAGACACAGGUGGCCUUGUAAACUCAUAUGAUUAGCAACUAUGUUAAGGUUUGCUGUGUUUUGUUUGUUGUUGUUUUAUUUAAAGACACUGUGACGAAUUCAACCACAGAAUUUUUAACAUCAAAACUGAAUAGGAUUUGAUACAUGAGUGUUGUAGUCAGACAAAAUCUCCAAUCCAGACCCUCCAUCAUGCUGUGUGACUUUGGGCAGGUUACAUAACUGCUGUGAGCCUCAGUUGCUCUACUCUUAAAAAAAAAAAAAAGUAUUGAGAUUGAAUGAAUGGAUAAAAGCUACCAUAUACUGUAAUAUCCUAAUGUAUAUAAAACAUGUGGCACAUAGGAAGUGCUCAGUAAAUGUCUAUUCUCCUUGCCUUCUAUUAGGAUACCAUGUGUGCAUGUGUGUGUUGGUGUGUGUAUGUGUAUGUUUUACAAUAGAGGAAAUUUGGAAAUUCCUCCAUGCCUGUAUGUAUGUAUAUACACUAUAUCUGUAUAAAUACCCAAAUUAACACAUAUGUUUGGUUUUUUAUAUGAUUCUACUUCUUAUCAAAUAAAAUAUUAGAACCUUGAGAAACCCUUUAAAGCAGCCAUUCCCAACCUUUUUGGCACCAGGGGCUGGUUUCAUGGAAGACAAUUUUUCCACAGACAGAAGGGAGGGGGAUGGUUUUGGGAUGAUCCAAGUGCGUUACAUUUGUUGUGCACUUUAUUUCUAUUAUUAUUACAUUUUAAUAGAUAAUGAGGUAGAAUCAGUGGGAGCCCUGAGCGUGUUUUCCUGCAACUAGACUGUCCCAUCUGGGGUGAUGGGAGAUAGUGAUAGAUCAUCAGGCAUUAGAUUCUCAUAAGAAGCAUGCAACCUAGAUCCCUCGCAUGCGAGUUCACAGUAGCGUUCAGGCUCCUGUGAGAAUCUAAUGCCGCUGCUGAUCUGACAAGAAGCAGUGCUCAGGCAGUCAUGCCAGUAGUGGAGAGUGGCUGUGAAUACAGAUGAAGCUGCACUCCCGGGCCCGCUACUCACCUCCUGCUAUGCGGCAUGGUUCUUAACAGGCCAGGGACUGGUUCUGGUCCAUGGCCUGGGGACUGGGGACCCCUGCUUUAAAGGAUAUGUUGAUGCAUCCAUGAAGAAAAGGGAAUAACAAGCAGAGCUGGGUCUCAGUGGUUUGGAAACAAAAUCUUCCUCUUUGCAUAUUUAAUUCUUAGAUGUCUGGACCAGUUCUUUCAAAGUCUGCUAUCUAGGUUAUAAAUUACCUGUUCAGAGAGCUAGGCUGCUAUCUUUGUGAAAGCUGUUUGAUAAGUCUAGAUAGUUGUUUGGUGGUUUUUCAUUUUAUUUAGUUAUUUAUUUAUUUAUUUUGAGACAGAGUCUCAGUCUGUCUCCCAGGUUGGAGUGCAGUGGUGCGAUCUGGGCUCACUGCAACCUCUGCCUCCUGGGUUCAAACAAUUCUCCUGCCUCAGCCACCUGAGUAGCUGUGAUUACAGGCGUGUGCCACCAUACCCAGCUAAUUUUUGUAUUUUCAGUAGAGACAGGGUUUCACCAUGUUGGCCAGGCUGGUUUCCAACUCCUGACCUCAAGUGAUCCGCCCGCCUUGGCCUCCCAAAGUGUUAGGACUACAGGCAUGAGCCACCGCGACCCAGCCUACAUAGAGAGC